AGAGUUUGAUCAUGGCUCAGAACGAACGCUGGCGGCAGGCCUAACACAUGCAAGUCGAGCGCUACCUUCGGGUGGAGCGGCGGACGGGUUAGUAACGCGUGGGAAUAUACCCAGUUCUAAGGAAUAGCCACUGGAAACGGUGAGUAAUACCUUAUACGCCCUUCGGGGGAAAGAUUUAUCGGAAUUGGAUUAGCCCGCGUUAGAUUAGAUAGUUGGUGGGGUAAUGGCCUACCAAGUCUACGAUCUAUAGCUGGUUUGAGAGGGUGAUCAGCAACACUGGGACUGAGACACGGCCCAGACUCCUACGGGAGGCAGCAGUGGGGAAUCUUAGACAAUGGGCGCAAGCCUGAUCUAGCCAUGCCGCGUGAGUGAUGAAGGCCCUAGGGUCGUAAAGCUCUUUCAACUGUGAAGAUAAUGACGGUAGCAGUAGAAGAAACCCCGGCUAACUCCGUGCCAGCAGCCGCGGUAAUACGGAGGGGGUUAGCGUUGUUCGGAAUUACUGGGCGUAAAGCGUACGUAGGCGGAUUAAUAAGUUAGAGGUGAAAUCCCAGGGCUCAACCCUGGAACUGCCUUUAAAACUGUUAGUCUUGAGAUCGAGAGAGGUGAGUGGAAUUCCAAGUGUAGAGGUGAAAUUCGUAGAUAUUUGGAGGAACACCAGUGGCGAAGGCGGCUCACUGGCUCGAUACUGACGCUGAGGUACGAAAGUGUGGGGAGCAAACAGGAUUAGAUACCCUGGUAGUCCACACCGUAAACGAUGAAUGCCAGACGUCAGCAAGCAUGCUUGUUGGUGUCACACCUAACGGAUUAAGCAUUCCGCCUGGGGAGUACGGUCGCAAGAUUAAAACUCAAAGGAAUUGACGGGGGCCCGCACAAGCGGUGGAGCAUGUGGUUUAAUUCGACGCAACGCGCAGAACCUUACCAACCCUUGACAUACUUGUCGCGGAUUCCAGAGAUGGAUUCCUUCAGCUCGGCUGGACAAUGUACAGGUGCUGCAUGGCUGACGUCAGCUCGUGUCGUGAGAUGUUCGGUUAAGUCCGGCAACGAGCGCAACCCACGUCCUUAGUUACCAGCAUUUAGUUGGGUACCCUAAGGAGACUGCCGGUGAUAAGCCGGAGGAAGGUGUGGACGACGUCAAGUCAUCAUGGCCCUUACGGGUUGGGCUACACACGUGCUACAAUGGCAUCUACAGUGAGUUAAUCUCCAAAAGAUGUCUCAGUUCGGAUUGGGGUCUGCAACUCGACCCCAUGAAGUCGGAAUCGCUAGUAAUCGCGGAACAGCAUGCCGCGGUGAAUACGUUCCCGGGCCUUGUACACACCGCCCGUCACACCAUGGGAAUUGGGUCUACCCGAAGGUGGUGCGCCAACUAUUUAUAGGGGCAGCCAACCACGGUAGGUUCAGUGACUGGGGUGAAGUCGUAACAAGGUAACC
RNAcentral lists this ribosomal RNA (1428 nucleotides) under uncultured bacterium. RNAcentral describes it as "bacterial SSU rRNA". It matches the Rfam family "Bacterial small subunit ribosomal RNA". The record is from RNAcentral.